RNAcentral lists this ribosomal RNA (234 nucleotides) under uncultured bacterium. Its description in RNAcentral is "partial 16S ribosomal RNA". It matches the Rfam family "Bacterial small subunit ribosomal RNA", at positions 15 to 245 of the family's 1533-position model. The record is from RNAcentral.
GAUCAUGGCUCAGAUUGAACGCUGGCGGCAGGCUUAACACAUGCAAGUCGAACGGUGACAUAAAGGAGCUUGCUUCUUUGAUGACGAGUGGCGGACGGGUGAGUAAUGCUUGGGAAUCUAGCUUAUGGAGGGGGAUAACUACGGGAAACUGUAGCUAAUACCGCGUAGAAUCGAGAGAUGAAAGUGUGGGACCUUCGGGCCACAUGCCAUAGGAUGAGCCCAAGUGGGAUUAGG